CGAUUAUCAAUAAGCGGAGGAAAAGAAACCAACCGGGAUUGCCUCAGUAACGGCGAGUGAAGCGGCAAGAGCUCAAAUUUGAAAGCUGGCUCCUUCGGAGUCCGCAUUGUAAUUUGCAGAGGAUGCUUUGGGUGCGGCCCCCGUCUAAGUGCCCUGGAACGGGCCGUCAGAGAGGGUGAGAAUCCCGUCUUGGGCGGGGUGUCCGUGCCCGUGUAAAGCUCCUUCGACGAGUCGAGUUGUUUGGGAAUGCAGCUCUAAAUGGGUGGUAAAUUUCAUCUAAAGCUAAAUACUGGCCGGAGACCGAUAGCGCACAAGUAGAGUGAUCGAAAGAUGAAAAGCACUUUGAAAAGAGAGUUAAACAGCACGUGAAAUUGUUGAAAGGGAAGCGCCUGCGACCAGACUCGCCCGCGGGGUUCAGCCGGCAUUCGUGCCGGUGUACUUCCCCGUGGGCGGGCCAGCGUCGGUUUGGGCGGCCGGUCAAAGGCCCCUGGAAUGUAGUACCCUCCGGGGUACCUUAUAGCCAGGGGUGCAAUGCGGCCAGCCUGGACCGAGGAACGCGCUUCGGCACGGACGCUGGCAUAAUGGUCGUAAACGACCCGUCUUGAAACACGGACC
RNAcentral lists this ribosomal RNA (615 nucleotides) under Aspergillus niger. Its description in RNAcentral is "eukaryotic LSU rRNA". It matches the Rfam family "Eukaryotic large subunit ribosomal RNA", at positions 37 to 667 of the family's 3401-position model. The record is from RNAcentral. Lineage: Eukaryota; Fungi; Ascomycota; Eurotiomycetes; Eurotiales; Aspergillaceae.